GGAGGGGGCGAGCGUUGUUCGGAAUUACUGGGCGUAAAGGGCGCGUAGGCGGCCUUUUAAGUUAGGCGUGAAAGCCCCGGGCUCAACCUGGGAACUGCGCUUAAGACUGGAGAGCUAGAAAACGGAAGAGGUGAGUGGAAUUCCCAGUGUAGAGGUGAAAUUCGUAGAUAUUGGGAAGAACACCAGUGGCGAAAGCGGCUACCUGGUCCGGAUUUGAGCCUGAGGCGCGAAAG
RNAcentral lists this ribosomal RNA (233 nucleotides) under unidentified marine eubacterium. RNAcentral describes it as "partial 16S ribosomal RNA". It matches the Rfam family "Bacterial small subunit ribosomal RNA", at positions 527 to 759 of the family's 1533-position model. The record is from RNAcentral.